GAUGAACGCUGGCGGCGUGCCUAACACAUGCAAGUCGAGCGAACCCUUCGGGGUGAGCGGCGGACGGGUGAGUAACGCGUGGGUAACCUGCCCUGUACACACGGAUAACAUACCGAAAGGUAUGCUAAUACGAGAUAAUAUGUAAUGAUCGCAUGGUCGAUACAUCAAAGCUCCGGCGGUACAGGAUGGACCCGCGUCUGAUUAGCUAGUUGGUGAGGUAAUGGCUCACCAAGGCGACGAUCAGUAGCCGACCUGAGAGGGUGAUCGGCCACAUUGGAACUGAGACACGGUCCAAACUCCUACGGGAGGCAGCAGUGGGGAAUAUUGCACAAUGGGCGAAAGCCUGAUGCAGCAACGCCGCGUGAGCGAUGAAGGCCUUCGGGUCGUAAAGCUCUUUUA
Molecule: ribosomal RNA, 399 nt
Filed under: uncultured Rickettsia sp.
Lineage: Bacteria; Pseudomonadati; Pseudomonadota; Alphaproteobacteria; Rickettsiales; Rickettsiaceae
Description: bacterial SSU rRNA
Rfam family: Bacterial small subunit ribosomal RNA
Source: RNAcentral